GGAAGGAAUGGAGCUGAGAGCAUUCACUCCCAUAGAUCAGAGUGAAAAGGCCGUAUGUUACAGGUCACAGUGAUGAGGAAGACAACAAUUUGAACUCUGGGCAUUUUAUACAUUCAAAUUCUGAGGAAAUAGAAAAUCGGGAUUUGCAAUGAAAAUUCUUGAAAAGGAAACCGAGGCAGAGGAAUGAUUGAAGUGCACCCAGCCAAAAGGCAAACGAUUCCAAAUAAGCUCUCAGUGAACUGAUGGUUCAAUCAUACAGGGAACAUGAAAGACAUACAGAAAAUAAAACAAAGGGAAGACUUUCAGAAACUGCAAAAUGACAUGAAGACAAAUGGAACAAUAUGGAUAUAACAAUGCAGCAUAAGUGCAAGGCAAAAUAUGACAGAGACAUAGCUGAAAAGAAAGGAAGGAAAAAGAAUGGCAAUGCAAGAAAAGGUGGAAAUAGUCCAAUUCAAUUCAAUCUUUAACUAACUUGUCAAUGAACAACACCCUGAGAUAUACAGAUGUACAAUGAUAAAAGUCUAACUCAAUUUCUCCAAAUCAAAUUCUCAA
Molecule: non-coding RNA, 552 nt
Organism: Chiloscyllium plagiosum (whitespotted bambooshark)
Lineage: Eukaryota; Metazoa; Chordata; Chondrichthyes; Orectolobiformes; Hemiscylliidae
Source: RefSeq, a predicted model, not a curated record